Molecule: ribosomal RNA, 519 nt
Filed under: uncultured bacterium
Lineage: Bacteria
Description: partial 16S ribosomal RNA
Rfam family: Bacterial small subunit ribosomal RNA
Source: RNAcentral
GACGAACGCUGGCGGCGUGCCUAAUACAUGCAAGUCGAGCGAGCUUGCCUAGAUGUAUUUGGUGCUUGCACCAGAUGAAACGAGAUACAAGCGAGCGGCGGACGGGUGAGUAACACGUGGGUAACCUGCCCAAGAGACUGGGAUAACACCUGGAAACAGAUGCUAAUACCGUAUAACAACACUAGACGCAUUUCUUGAGAUUAAAAGAUGGAUCUGCUCUCCCUCUUGGAUGGGCCUGCGGUGCAUUAGCUAGUUGGUAAGGCAACGGCUUACCAAGGCAAUGAUGCAUAGCCGAGCUGAGAGACUGAUCGGCCACAUUGGGACUGAGACACGGCCCAAACUCCUACGGGAGGCAGCAGUAGGGAAUCUUCCGCAAUGGACGCAAGUCUGAUGGAGCAACGCCGCGUGAGUGAAGAAGGGUUUCGGCUCGUAAAGCUCUGUUGGUAGUGAAGAAAGAUAGUGGUAGUAACUGUCCUUUAUUUGACGGUAAUUACUUAGAAAGUCACGGCUAACUACGUG